CAUCCCGGAAGAUAUACAAGUUUUAAUAGUUAAUAUUAAUAAAAAGUUUAUAUUAGUUUAAUAAAGGAAACUCACUCAACCAAAAAUGGAUUAAAUGAAUGGAGGGGCCGGCAAAAAGUCCCCGCCGCCAAAGGGGAGCAAAAACUUGACCAGGCCAACGAUGGAUGGAGAAUUAUUAUGCAGCAGCAAUUACUCGCCAAUUGUCGUCGCAAUGAGAUAGAGAGCGAAUGGCCAGCGUAGUGGGAAUGAAAAUGGGAAUGAGAACGGGAACGAAAGGAGAAAAAGCUGUUCGAAAAGGCGAUAAUCCAGUCGGGAAGGAGCGCAAAAGAAGUCGAUGGAGACCGGCGUUCAAGUGAGGAUCGCAAUGAUCAAACGAAUAAAAAAGCACAAUUUUUCCUCUGUGCACCUUCUUGGAUCUUGGCCAUCUCAACGGUUUUGGCCCCGUCUGGUUAUGACCAAAUGGAGAGGAUCAGCAGUCGCCCCCUGUGAUUAUUUUUAUUAUAAUUGCACGUUUAUUGGCGUGAGGAAAUGUUGUUGCCACUCCAAUCCGUGGGGACACCACACACACCAAAAUGCCGCACAUCGACACGGACUGUUGGCGAGUACAUCAAAUUUCAUAAUCAAAAAGUGCUUCAAAGCCAAACCAUUUCGUACAUUUCUCGGUCUUUCUCCAUUGCAGCCACCAACUGCUAACUGCUAACUGCUAAUGACGACGACACCUUGGACAACGAGCCUAUAUGCAGCAGCUCCUCCAGAUCUCUGGACACUGGACAAUCCGAAAACAUCCCACUAAUUUUUCCAUAUAUGUCCAAAGUGGUACACAAACGGCAAAAGGCAAACGGCAAAGCGGCUUUGAUUUGUGCAAGGCAAACUUGGCGCUUGUUGUACAGCAUUUUUGCGUCUCUUAAAUGCUGCAUUUUCUUCUGGAUUCGUUCAGUUUUAGUUUAUAGAGUCUAUGUAUAUAUAGUAUGCCUUGGGGUAAUAUAAAAGUCAAAGCAUUAAGCCGACAAGAAGCGUUGAAAUUUUAUUUAAUAAUUUAGAAAUAUUUUGGAAAAUAGCAAAUAAUAUUUAAAAAUGUUGAGGGAGUUGGAAAAGUUUA
Non-coding RNA from Drosophila kikkawai, 1099 nucleotides. The record is from RefSeq and is a predicted model, not a curated record. NCBI's taxonomy places the organism in Eukaryota, Metazoa, Arthropoda, Insecta, Diptera, Drosophilidae.